GGCAUGCGCAGCUACCAUGCAGUCGUACGAGAAGGUUCUUUCGGGAACUGGAGAGUGGCGCACGGGUGAGUAACGCGUGGGGACCUACCUCUUAGUGGGGGAUAACGGUUGGAAACGACCGCUAAUACCGCAUACGCCCUUCGGGGGAAAGAUUUAUCGCUAAGAGAUGGACCCGCGUUGGAUUAGAUAGUUGGUGAGGUAACGGCUCACCAAGUCAGCGAUCCAUAGCUGGUUUGAGAGGAUGAUCAGCCACACUGGGACUGAGACACGGCCCAGACUCCUACGGGAGGCAGCAGUGGGGAAUAUUGGACAAUGGGCGCAAGCCUGAUCCAGCCAUGCCGCGUGAGUGAAGAAGGCCUUCGGGUUGUAAAGCUCUUUCAGAUGCGAAGAUGAUGACGGUAACAUCAGAAGAAGCCCCGGCUAAUUUCGUGCCAGCAGCCGCGGUAAUACGAAAGGGGCAAGCGUUGUUCGGAUUUACUGGGCGUAAAGGGCACGCAGGCGGUCCUGCCAGUCAGGGGUGAAAG
This 524-nucleotide ribosomal RNA is filed under the name Thalassospira sp. RNAcentral describes it as "bacterial SSU rRNA". It matches the Rfam family "Bacterial small subunit ribosomal RNA", at positions 41 to 600 of the family's 1533-position model. Lineage: Bacteria; Pseudomonadati; Pseudomonadota; Alphaproteobacteria; Rhodospirillales; Thalassospiraceae. The record is from RNAcentral.